GAGUUUGAUCAUGGCUCAGAUUGAACGCUGGCGGCAUGCCCUACACAUGCAUGUCGAACGGCAGCAUGAUCUAGCUUGCUAGAUUGAUGGCGAGUGGCGAACGGGUGAGUAAUACAUCGGAACGUGCCCUGUAGUGGGGGAUAACUAGUCGAAAGAUUAGCUAAUACCGCAUACGACCUGAGGGUGAAAGUGGGGGACCGCAAGGCCUCAUGCUAUAGGAGCGGCCGAUGUCUGAUUAGCUAGUUGGUGGGGUAAAGGCCCACCAAGGCGACGAUCAGUAGCUGGUCUGAGAGGACGAUCAGCCACACUGGGACUGAGACACGGCCCAGACUCCUACGGGAGGCAGCAGUGGGGAAUUUUGGACAAUGGGCGAAAGCCUGAUCCAGCAAUGCCGCGUGUGUG
This 402-nucleotide ribosomal RNA is filed under the name uncultured microorganism. RNAcentral describes it as "bacterial SSU rRNA". It matches the Rfam family "Bacterial small subunit ribosomal RNA", at positions 9 to 407 of the family's 1533-position model. The record is from RNAcentral.